CUGGCUCCAUCCUGGUCUCCAUUUGAUCAUUAGCUGCUGCUGCUGCUGCUGAGAUGCUGUCGCCGCUGUUCUGAGUCCGUGGGCCACCUCCCGUGCUGCCUCUGCAAAGUGAUUCUCUCAGGUCCUGUCUUUCAGUUCUCAGCUCAAACGUCACCUCUCCAGAGAGGCUUUGUGGCACCGAGUUUAUGUGUCCCAGCCCUUCAGGCCACCAAUGUCUUUGAAGACGGUGACAGCAGAUUAACCUGCUUUUGAAACAAAUAAUCCAGAGAUCUAUGGAGACACAGUGACACAAAGGCCACGCGGGAGUGUGGGAGUAGAAAGAACAGGACAUUGGUGGGCUGCAGCGGAGCGAGCCGACGGCCACUGUACUUUCUCCAGGAGCCCUCUGCUGUCUGUGUGUGAAGGGGACGCUGCUCAGGGUCCAGAGUGAUUUGCCCGCUGCACACCCGUGUGCUGACUCGAAGCUCGGCUCUUGGUGGGGGAGAACAGUGCACACAGACGGGCCGACAGGGUAUGCACGAAGCCACGCACAGAAUCAAGAUUCACUAGACACGCAAAAAGAAAAACAGGACCCAUGACCAAGAAGCAAUGGUCAGAAGGCACACGAGGAUGUUGGAUGUUGGGAUUCACUGGUGAGGACUGCGGGAAGUAGGAUAAAUAUGUAGCUAAUGUGGAAAAUAAGAUGGUGUGUGACAAAUCACGACCCUGAACACUCGUAAAGCUCACUUCCAAGUGUCUCGUGGGUCACAGGGACAUGACCUCGGGGGCUACAUCUUGACCCUGGCCCCUUACUCUCUGACUCCUUCCUUGUCUCUCCGUUUCCUGGCCAUUGUGAGGUGAGUGGCUUUCCUCCUCCAAGCCCCUUCGCCAUGACGUUUUAUCCUCACCACAGGCCUAGAAGCCGCAGGGCCAGCUGACCGUGGACUGGAACCUCGGAAACUGUGAGGAGAGAAGAAGCACUUCCUCCUUUAAGUUGUCCAUGUCAGGUAUUUUUGUCCCAGGGAUGGAUGAGAAGGUGACCGACCUGGCUGAAAGUAACAUGUGAGGAAAUGGAGAUUUCAGAAGAGACAUAAAACGUCGAAAUGGCUGGACGUGGUGGCACACGCCUGUCAUCCCAGCACUCCAGAGGCUGAGGCAGGAGGAUCACUGUGAGUUUGAGACCAGCCUGGGCUACAUAGUGAGUUCUAGGUCAGUCUCAACUACAUAGUGAGACCCUGUCUCAAAAAACCAC
Molecule: long non-coding RNA, 1231 nt
Organism: Fukomys damarensis (Damara mole-rat)
Lineage: Eukaryota; Metazoa; Chordata; Mammalia; Rodentia; Bathyergidae
Source: Ensembl